RNAcentral lists this ribosomal RNA (786 nucleotides) under uncultured bacterium. RNAcentral describes it as "bacterial SSU rRNA". It matches the Rfam family "Bacterial small subunit ribosomal RNA", at positions 59 to 843 of the family's 1533-position model. The record is from RNAcentral.
CAGUCGAACGAAGCACUUUAUUUGAUUUCCUUCGGGACUGAUUAUUUUGUGCCUGAAUGGCGGACGGGUGAGUAACGCGUGGGUAACCUGCCUUGUACAGGGGGAUAACAGUUGGAAACGGCUGCUAAUACCGCAUAAGCGCACAGCAUCGCAUGAUGCAGUGUGAAAAACUCCGGUGGUAUAAGAUGGACCCGCGUUGGAUUAGCUAGUUGGUGAGGUAACGGCCCACCAAGGCGACGAUCCAUAGCCGACCUGAGAGGGUGACCGGCCACAUUGGGACUGAGACACGGCCCAAACUCCUACGGGAGGCAGCAGUGGGGAAUAUUGCACAAUGGGCGAAAGCCUGAUGCAGCGACGCCGCGUGAGCGAAGAAGUAUUUCGGUAUGUAAAGCUCUAUCAGCAGGGAAGAUAAUGACGGUACCUGACUAAGAAGCACCGGCUAAAUACGUGCCAGCAGCCGCGGUAAUACGUAUGGUGCAAGCGUUAUCCGGAUUUACUGGGUGUAAAGGGAGCGCAGGCGGUGCGGCAAGUCUGAUGUGAAAGCCCGGGGCUCAACCCCGGUACUGCAUUGGAAACUGUCGUACUAGAGUGUCGGAGGGGUAAGCGGAAUUCCUAGUGUAGCGGUGAAAUGCGUAGAUAUUAGGAGGAACACCAGUGGCGAAGGCGGCUUACUGGACGAUAACUGACGCUGAGGCUCGAAAGCGUGGGGAGCAAACAGGAUUAGAUACCCUGGUAGUCCACGCCGUANACGAUGAAUACUAGGUGUUGGGAAGNAUUGCUUCUCGG